Molecule: ribosomal RNA, 439 nt
Filed under: uncultured bacterium
Lineage: Bacteria
Description: partial 16S ribosomal RNA
Rfam family: Bacterial small subunit ribosomal RNA
Source: RNAcentral
CCUAGGGAGGCAGCAGUGGGGAAUAUUGCACAACGGGGGAAACCCUGAUGCAGCAACGCCGCGUGAGUGAAGAAGUAUUUCGGUAUGUAAAGCUCUAUCAGCAGGGAAGAAAAUGACGGUACCUGAGUAAGAAGCCCCGGCUAACUACGUGCCAGCAGCCGCGGUAAUACGUAGGGGGCAAGCGUUAUCCGGAUUUACUGGGUGUAAAGGGAGCGUAGACGGCGAUACAAGUCUGAAGUGAAAGCCCGGGGCUCAACCCCGGGACUGCUUUGGAAACUGUGUUGCUGGAGUGCUGGAGAGGCAAGCGGAAUUUCUAGUGUAGCGGUGAAAUGCGUAGAUAUUAGGAAGAACACCAGUGGCGAAGGCGGCUUGCUGGACAGUAACUGACGUUGAGGCUCGAAAGCGUGGGGAGCAAACAGGAUUAGAUACCCGGGUAGUC